GACGUAGGGCGCGAGCGUUGUCCGGAUUUAUUGGGCGUAAAGAGCUCGUAGGCGGCUUGUUGCGUCGUCCGUGAAAACCUGGGGCUCAACUCCAGGCUUGCGGUCGAUACGGGCAGGCUAGAGUUCGGCAGGGGAGACUGGAAUUCCUGGUGUAGCGGUGAAAUGCGCAGAUAUCAGGAAGAACACCAAUGGCGAAAGCAGCUCUCUGGGACGGUACUGACGCUGAGACGCGAAAGCGUGGGGAGCGAACAGG
This 253-nucleotide ribosomal RNA is filed under the name uncultured bacterium. RNAcentral's name for it is "partial 16S ribosomal RNA". It matches the Rfam family "Bacterial small subunit ribosomal RNA", at positions 524 to 776 of the family's 1533-position model. The record is from RNAcentral.